UCUGCCCUCUGGUUUGGGAUAUCGUAGGGAAACUUACGUUAAUACCGGAUAUUGUCUAUGGACUAAAGGUGGCCUCUAUUUAUAAGCUAUCGCUAGGGGAUGAGCCCAUAUUAGAUUAGCUAGUUGGUGGGGUAAUGGCUCACCAAGGUGACGAUCUAUAGCUGGUUUGAGAGGAUGAUCAGCCACACUGGGACUGAGACACGGCCCAGACUCCUACGGGAGGCAGCAGUGGGGAAUAUUGGACAAUGGGGGAAACCCUGAUCCAGCCAUGCCGCGUGUGUGAAGAAGGCCCGAGGGUUGUAAAGCACUUUUAUUAAGGAGGAAAGGUAGGUUGCUAAUAUCGGCCUACUGUGACGUUACUUAAAGAAAAAGCACCGGCUAACUCAGUGCCAGCAGCCGCGGUAAUACUGAGGGUGCAAGCGUUAUUCGGAAUUACUGGGCGUAAAGCGCGCGUAGGCGGAUUGUUAAGUCGGAUGUGAAAGCCCUGGGCUCAACCUAGGAAUUGCAUUCGAUACUGGCCAUCUAGAGUUUAGUAGAGGGAAGGGGAAUUUCUGGAGUACCAGUGAAAUGCGUAGAUAUCAGAAGGAACAUCCAGUGGCGAAGGCGUCUUCCUG
RNAcentral lists this ribosomal RNA (614 nucleotides) under uncultured bacterium. RNAcentral describes it as "bacterial SSU rRNA". It matches the Rfam family "Bacterial small subunit ribosomal RNA", at positions 125 to 731 of the family's 1533-position model. The record is from RNAcentral.